CGCAAGUUGCGCCCGAAGCCAUUAGGUUGAGGGCACGCCUGCCUGGGCGUCACGCAUCGCGUCGCCCCCUCCCACCCCUCUCCUUUUUUAGUAUGGGUGGAUUUGAGGGGACGGAUAUUGGCCUCCCGUGCUCUUUUUGUGCGGCCGGCUUAAACUUGAU
RNAcentral lists this ribosomal RNA (160 nucleotides) under Codonanthopsis crassifolia. RNAcentral's name for it is "5.8S ribosomal RNA". Lineage: Eukaryota; Viridiplantae; Streptophyta; Magnoliopsida; Lamiales; Gesneriaceae. The record is from RNAcentral.